CUCGACCCCGUGAAGUCGGAGUCGCUAGUAAUCGCAGAUCAGCAACGCUGCGGUGAGUACGUUCCCGAUCCCUUGUACACACCGCCCGUAAGUCGUCAUGAAAGUCGGUAACACCCGAAGCCGGUGGCCUAACCCCUCGUGGNCGGGAGCCGUCGAAGGUGGGAUCGGCGAUUGGGACGAAGUCGUAACAAGGUAGCCGUACCGGAAGGUGCGGCUGGAUCACCUCCUUUCUAAGGAGCACCACGA
This 246-nucleotide ribosomal RNA is filed under the name uncultured Mycobacterium sp. RNAcentral describes it as "partial 16S ribosomal RNA". It matches the Rfam family "Bacterial small subunit ribosomal RNA", at positions 1311 to 1533 of the family's 1533-position model. Lineage: Bacteria; Bacillati; Actinomycetota; Actinomycetes; Mycobacteriales; Mycobacteriaceae. The record is from RNAcentral.